UGAGAGUUGGCAACACCCGAAGUCGGUAGUCUAACCGCAAGGAGGACGCCGCCGAAGGUGGGGUUGAUGAUUAGGGUUAAGUCGUAACAAGGUACC
Molecule: ribosomal RNA, 96 nt
Filed under: uncultured bacterium
Lineage: Bacteria
Description: partial 16S ribosomal RNA
Rfam family: Bacterial small subunit ribosomal RNA
Source: RNAcentral